AAAAAAAAAAAAAUCUUUCGUCACUGAAAUCGUGGCUCGGUGCUGCAUACGUUCAUAGAAAAUGACUAGCUUUGCUAGUGUGAAUGCAGGGACAGGAAUGUUUAUUUGUUGGUCAAAUAUAUAUAUUUUUGGGGGGUAAGAAAUGAAGAAAGGAGGCCUGCCUGAGUCACAGAUCCAGCUCAUCACUUAUUCAUGGUUAUAUUCCACGCGUUUAUGGGGCCGUAACAUGGAGCCGUUUUGAUUCUAUAUACGGUGUUUAUCACGCGUCCGUCAAGGACACCAAGCUUCUCAGAACGUGUGGUAUAUUGAUGCUAUUAUUGUGUGAAACAACUUUAUAACAGCACAAAAUCCUGUGUGAACACCUUGAAAUUCCUGCUGGUCGUUUAAUGCUAAAGCUGUUUGUGUGUUUAUAAAUGAAAAAAGCUGUUUAAAAAAAAAAAAAAAAAAAGUAUACAAUGCAUAACCGGUGCUGCAUUUUACCAUCAAAGACCAUAAACACACUUGGUGGUGUUGUGUUUACAAUAAUUGACAAUCCAUAUCUCAUUAUGUGUGUUCUACUGUUCAUUUGAGAGAAAUCCCUUUAUGAGUGUUUAUACAACCUCCAGAGAACUACUCCUACUUCCACAGUCACAGGAAACCAGGAACUGCUACAUGACUCCACUACGUGAUGGACAUCUUCUGACAUGAUGACUUUAGAUCACCGCUUGCUCUGACCGAUAAAAAUCCAGUUGGUGGCAAACUGCUGCAGUAUAAGAGGAAUAAAACACACACCUCUGAACAGGCCGUGAUCGGAACACGACCAGCUUGAGGUGUUGGUGAAGUAGAAAUGUUCUGGGGUUAUCUUCUCACUACAGUACAGACGGUAUCGACAGAUUUCGACUCCUCCUUCCGUGUAUGCUCCUGCUGUUUUUCACAUUAGCGCUUUGAAGAGACACACUCCGAACAACGGCGUGGAAAGAUCAGCCGACGCUUCAGCCGUGUCUGCGGCAUCCUUCCUUCACAGCAGGCCACACUCGAGCGGGAUGAAGGCAGAGGAGUUCAGCCUCGCUUUUCUGAAUCCUCCGUAGUGA
This is a long non-coding RNA of Ictalurus punctatus (channel catfish), 1070 nucleotides long. Lineage: Eukaryota; Metazoa; Chordata; Actinopteri; Siluriformes; Ictaluridae. The record is from Ensembl.